RNAcentral lists this ribosomal RNA (253 nucleotides) under uncultured bacterium. Its description in RNAcentral is "partial 16S ribosomal RNA". It matches the Rfam family "Bacterial small subunit ribosomal RNA", at positions 524 to 776 of the family's 1533-position model. The record is from RNAcentral.
UACAGAGGGUGCGAGCGUUGUCCGGAAUCACUGGGCGUAAAGGGCGCGUAGGCGGCCUGAUAAGUAGGGGGUGAAAUCUUGCGGCUUAACCGCAAGGCUGCCUUCUAAACUGUCGGGCUCGAGCACAGUAGAGGCAGGUGGAAUUCCCGGUGUAGCGGUGGAAUGCGUAGAGAUCGGGAAGAACAUCAGUGGCGAAGGCGGCCUGCUGGGCUGUUGCUGACGCUGAGGCGCGACAGCGUGGGGAGCAAACAGG